ACGGAGGGUGCAAGAGUUAUUCGGAAUUACUGGGCGUAAAGCGCGUGUAGGCGGUCCUGCAAGUCUGAUGUGAAAGCCCCGGGCUUAACCCGGGAAGUGCAUUGGAAACUGUGGGAAUUGAGUACUGGAGAGGAUGGGGGAAUUCCCGGUGUAGAGGUGAAAUACGUAGAGGUCUGGAGGAAUAUCAGUGGCGAAGGCGCCCAGCUGGACGGUAACUGACACUGAGACGCGAACGCGUGGGGAGCAAGCAG
Molecule: ribosomal RNA, 251 nt
Filed under: uncultured prokaryote
Description: partial 16S rRNA
Rfam family: Bacterial small subunit ribosomal RNA
Source: RNAcentral